UGGGGAAUAUUGCACAAUGGGCGCAAGCCUGAUGCAGCCAUGCCGCGUGUGUGAAGAAGGCCUUCGGGUUGUAAAGCACUUUCAGCGAGGAGGAAGGUGGUGAACUUAAUACGUUCAUCAAUUGACGUUACUCGCAGAAGAAGCACCGGCUAACUCCGUGCCAGCAGCCGCGGUAAUACGGAGGGUGCAAGCGUUAAUCGGAAUUACUGGGCGUAAAGCGCACGCAGGCGGUUUGUUAAGUCAGAUGUGAAAUCCCCGGGCUCAACCUGGGAACUGCAUUUGAAACUGGCAAGCUAGAGUCUCGUAGAGGGGGGUAGAAUUCCAGGUGUAGCGGUGAAAUGCGUAGAGAUCUGGAGGAAUACCGGUGGCGAAGGCGGCCCCCCUGGACGAAGACUGACGCUCAGGUGCGAAAAGCGUGGGGAGCAAAACAGGAUUAGAUACCCUGGUAGUCCACGCUGUAAAACGAUGUCGAUUUGGAGGUUGUGCCCUUGAGGCGUGGCUUCCGGAGCUAACGCGUUAAAUCGACCGCCUGGGGAGUACGGCCGCAAGGUUAAAAACUUAAAAGGAAUUGACGGGGUCAUAGCUGUUUCCU
Molecule: ribosomal RNA, 592 nt
Filed under: uncultured bacterium
Lineage: Bacteria
Description: partial 16S ribosomal RNA
Rfam family: Bacterial small subunit ribosomal RNA
Source: RNAcentral